GAUGAACGCUGGCGGCGUGCCUAAUACAUGCAAGUCGAGCGAACGGACGAGAAGCUUGCUUUUCUGAUGUUAGCGGCGGACGGGUGAGUAACACGUGGAUAACCUACCUAUAAGACUGGGAUAACUUCGGGAAACCGGAGCUAAUACCGGAUAAUAUUUUGAACCGCAUGGUUCAAAAGUGAAAGACGGUCUUGCUGUCACUUAUAGAUGGAUCCGCGCUGCAUUAGCUAGUUGGUAAGGUAACGGCUUACCAAGGCAACGAUGCAUAGCCGACCUGAGAGGGUGAUCGGCCACACUGGAACUGAGACACGGUCCAGACUCCUACGGGAGGCAGCAGUAGGGAAUCUUCCGCAAUGGGCGAAAGCCUGACAGAGCAACGCCGCGUGAGUGAUGAAGGUCUUCGGAUCGUAAAACUCUGUUAUUAGGGAAGAACAGAUGUGUAAGUAACUGUGCACAUCUUGACGGUACCUAAUCAGAAAGCCACGGCUAACUACGUG
RNAcentral lists this ribosomal RNA (497 nucleotides) under uncultured bacterium. RNAcentral's name for it is "partial 16S ribosomal RNA". It matches the Rfam family "Bacterial small subunit ribosomal RNA", at positions 28 to 507 of the family's 1533-position model. The record is from RNAcentral.